ACUCAAAGGAAUUGACGGGGGCCCGCACAAGCGGUGGAGCAUGUGGUUUAAUUCGAUGCUACGCGAAGAACCUUACCUGGGCUUGACAUCCCGCGCUACCCUACGAAAGUAGGGGUUCCCUUCGGGGACGCGGUGACAGGUGCUGCAUGGCUGUCGUCAGCUCGUGUUGUGAGAUGUUGGGUUAAGUCCCGCAACGAGCGCAACCCCCGUUACUAGUUACCAUCAUUUAGUUGGGCACUCUAGUAAGACCGCUUGGCAAUAAGCCAGAGGAAGGUGGGGAUGACGUCAAGUCCUCAUGGCCUUUAUGUCCAGGGCUACACACGUGCUACAAUGGCAGGUACAAAACGCCGCAAGCCGGUAACGGCAAGCUAAUCGUAAAAAACCUGUUUCAGUUCGGAUUGGAGUCUGCAACUCGACUCCAUGAAGCUGGAAUCGCUAGUAAUCGCGGAUCAGAACGCCGCGGUGAAUACGUUCCCGGGCCUUGUACACACCGCCCGU
This 498-nucleotide ribosomal RNA is filed under the name uncultured bacterium. RNAcentral's name for it is "partial 16S ribosomal RNA". It matches the Rfam family "Bacterial small subunit ribosomal RNA", at positions 899 to 1397 of the family's 1533-position model. The record is from RNAcentral.